GUGAAUCAUCAAAUUUUUGAACGCAAAUUGCACUCUCUUCGGAGAGUAUGCUGUUUGAGGGUCCGCCUUAAAAAAAUCGACAUAGUCGCUGUUUCGCGGUGACAUUCGGCGGGAAUUGGGUUAUUUUUAACCUUUGGGGUUUUAGCGGCUUAAAAUUUUUUUUACGAUUCCAAGAACGUUUUUAAGAUUUACUUCUUACAAGUUUAAGGUAA
This 212-nucleotide unclassified non-coding RNA is filed under the name Glomus sp. RNAcentral's name for it is "partial contains 5.8S ribosomal RNA and internal transcribed spacer 2". Lineage: Eukaryota; Fungi; Glomeromycota; Glomeromycetes; Glomerales; Glomeraceae. The record is from RNAcentral.